This 533-nucleotide ribosomal RNA is filed under the name uncultured marine bacterium. RNAcentral describes it as "bacterial SSU rRNA". It matches the Rfam family "Bacterial small subunit ribosomal RNA", at positions 369 to 918 of the family's 1533-position model. The record is from RNAcentral.
CAAUGGGNGCAAGCCUGAUCUAGCCAUGCCGNGUGAGUGAUGAAGGCCUUAGGGUCGUAAAGCUCUUUCGCCAGAGAUGAUAAUGACAGUAUCUGGUAAAGAAACCCCGGCUAACUCCGUGCCAGCAGCCGCGGUAAUACGGAGGGGGUUAGCGUUGUUCGGAAUUACUGGGCGUAAAGCGCACGUAGGCGGAUCAGAAAGUUGGGGGUGAAAUCCCAGGGCUCAACCCUGGAACGGCCUCCAAAACUCCUGGUCUUGAGUUCGAGAGAGGUGAGUGGAAUUCCGAGUGUAGAGGUGAAAUUCGUAGAUAUUCGGAGGAACACCAGUGGCGAAGGCGGCUCACUGGCUCGAUACUGACGCUGAGGUGCGAAAGUGUGGGNNGAGCAAACAGGAUUAGAUACCCUGGUAGUCCACACCGUAAACGAUGAAUGCCAGUCGUCGGGUAGUAUACUGCUCGGUGACACACCUAACGGAUUAAGCAUUCCGCCUGGGGAGUACGGUCGCAAGAUUAAAACUCAAAGGAAUUGACGGAU